GCGAACGCUGGCGGCGUGGAUAAGGCAUGCAAGUCGAGCGAACCCGCAGGGUUAGGCGGCAACGGUAGAGUAACGCGUGGGUAACCGUGCCCCGAACGAGUGGGACAACUCGGCGAAAGCCGGGCUAAUACCACAUAUGCUCGCAGCACUGCAUGGUGCAGCGAGGAAAGGUGGCGCGGCCGCAAGGCUGCUACCGUUUCGGGAGGGACCUGCGUCCCAUCAGCUAGUUGGUAGGGUCACGGCCUACCAAGGCGUAUGACGGGUAGCUGGCCUGAGAGGGUGGUCAGCCACACUGGGACUGAGACACUGCCCAGACUCCUACGGGAGGCUGCAGUCGAGAAUCUUUGGCAAUGGGCGAAAGCCUGACCAUGCGACGCCGCGUGCGGGAUGAAGGCUCUCGGGUCGUAAACCGCUGUUAUGAGGGACGAACGCUGUGGUCGCGAACAGUGGCCGCAGC
This 457-nucleotide ribosomal RNA is filed under the name uncultured bacterium. Its description in RNAcentral is "bacterial SSU rRNA". It matches the Rfam family "Bacterial small subunit ribosomal RNA", at positions 30 to 478 of the family's 1533-position model. The record is from RNAcentral.